AUGGCCCAUGAGAGGGAGAUUUUAAAAGGAAUGUAUGAGGAGCUGAAGGAAAAGUCCCAUAAACCAGAUGUGGAGCUAAUCCAGCAUCGUGCAUGGAGGAUCCACAUGGUUUCCACAGAGCUGGAGUCAUUCAGGGAAGCUUCUUAUAUCGAGAGUGGUCCAGAAGAAUUCUACCAAAGAUUUAAGAAGUGUUUUUCUACAACUCAUAUCUUCAUAAGUAUGAAGGGUAAAGAUUCUCAGAAUACAGUUCAUGGAUAUCUGAUUCUUAACAGGUAA
RNAcentral lists this long non-coding RNA (276 nucleotides) under Homo sapiens (human). RNAcentral describes it as "non-protein coding lnc-TRIM43-3:2". Lineage: Eukaryota; Metazoa; Chordata; Mammalia; Primates; Hominidae. The record is from RNAcentral.